This 2604-nucleotide ribosomal RNA is filed under the name Enterobacter hormaechei. RNAcentral's name for it is "bacterial LSU rRNA". It matches the Rfam family "Bacterial large subunit ribosomal RNA". The record is from RNAcentral. Lineage: Bacteria; Pseudomonadati; Pseudomonadota; Gammaproteobacteria; Enterobacterales; Enterobacteriaceae.
AGCGUACACGGUGGAUGCCCUGGCAGUCAGAGGCGAUGAAGGACGUGCUAAUCUGCGAAAAGCGCCGGCGAGGUGAUAUGAACCUUUGACCCGGCGAUGUCCGAAUGGGGAAACCCAGUGCAAUCCGUUGCACUAUCGUUAACUGAAUACAUAGGUUAACGAGGCGAACCGGGGGAACUGAAACAUCUAAGUACCCCGAGGAAAAGAAAUCAACCGAGAUUCCCCCAGUAGCGGCGAGCGAACGGGGAGCAGCCCGGAGUCUGAAUCAGCUUGUGUGUUAGUGGAACGGUCUGGAAAGUCCGACGGUACAGGGUGAUAGUCCCGUACACGAAAGCACACUUGCUGUGAACUCGAAGAGUAGGGCGGGACACGUGGUAUCCUGUCUGAAUAUGGGGGGACCAUCCUCCAAGGCUAAAUACUCCUGACUGACCGAUAGUGAACCAGUACCGUGAGGGAAAGGCGAAAAGAACCCCGGCGAGGGGAGUGAAAAAGAACCUGAAACCGUGUACGUACAAGCAGUGGGAGCCUCUUUAUGGGGUGACUGCGUACCUUUUGUAUAAUGGGUCAGCGACUUAUAUUCUGUAGCAAGGUUAACCGUAUAGGGGAGCCGAAGGGAAACCGAGUCUUAACUGGGCGUUAAGUUGCAGGGUAUAGACCCGAAACCCGGUGAUCUAGCCAUGGGCAGGUUGAAGGUUGGGUAACACUAACUGGAGGACCGAACCGACUAAUGUUGAAAAAUUAGCGGAUGACCUGUGGCUGGGGGUGAAAGGCCAAUCAAACCGGGAGAUAGCUGGUUCUCCCCGAAAGCUAUUUAGGUAGCGCCUCGUGAACUCAUCUUCGGGGGUAGAGCACUGUUUCGGCUAGGGGGCCAUCCCGGCUUACCAACCCGAUGCAAACUACGAAUACCGAAGAAUGUUAUCACGGGAGACACACGGCGGGUGCUAACGUCCGUCGUGAAGAGGGAAACAACCCAGACCGCCAGCUAAGGUCCCAAAGUCAUGGUUAAGUGGGAAACGAUGUGGGAAGGCACAGACAGCCAGGAUGUUGGCUUAGAAGCAGCCAUCAUUUAAAGAAAGCGUAAUAGCUCACUGGUCGAGUCGGCCUGCGCGGAAGAUGUAACGGGGCUAAACCAUGCACCGAAGCUGCGGCAGCGACGCUUAGGCGUUGUUGGGUAGGGGAGCGUUCUGUAAGCCGUUGAAGGUGUNNUUAACGCUGAGGUGUGAUGACGAGGCACUACGGUGCUGAAGUGAUAAAUGCCCUGCUUCCAGGAAAAGCCUCUAAGCAUCAGGUAACACGAAAUCGUACCCCAAACCGACACAGGUGGUCAGGUAGAGAAUACCAAGGCGCUUGAGAGAACUCGGGUGAAGGAACUAGGCAAAAUGGUGCCGUAACUUCGGGAGAAGGCACGCUGAUAUGUAGGUGAAGUCCCUGCGGACGGAGCUGAAAUCAGUCGAAGAUACCAGCUGGCUGCAACUGUUUAUUAAAAACACAGCACUGUGCAAACACGAAAGUGGACGUAUACGGUGUGACGCCUGCCCGGUGCCGGAAGGUUAAUUGAUGGGGUUAGCGGCAACGCGAAGCUCUUGAUCGAAGCCCCGGUAAACGGCGGCCGUAACUAUAACGGUCCUAAGGUAGCGAAAUUCCUUGUCGGGUAAGUUCCGACCUGCACGAAUGGCGUAAUGAUGGCCAGGCUGUCUCCACCCGAGACUCAGUGAAAUUGAACUCGCUGUGAAGAUGCAGUGUACCCGCGGCAAGACGGAAAGACCCCGUGAACCUUUACUAUAGCUUGACACUGAACACUGGUCCUUGAUGUGUAGGAUAGGUGGGAGGCUUUGAAGCGUGGACGCCAGUCUGCGUGGAGCCAACCUUGAAAUACCACCCUUUAAUGGCUGGUGUUCUAACGUAGACCCGUAAUCCGGGUUGCGGACAGUGUCUGGUGGGUAGUUUGACUGGGGCGGUCUCCUCCCAAAGAGUAACGGAGGAGCACGAAGGUUGGCUAAUCCUGGUCGGACAUCAGGAGGUUAGUGCAAUGGCAUAAGCCAGCUUGACUGCGAGCGUGACGGCGCGAGCAGGUGCGAAAGCAGGUCAUAGUGAUCCGGUGGUUCUGAAUGGAAGGGCCAUCGCUCAACGGAUAAAAGGUACUCCGGGGAUAACAGGCUGAUACCGCCCAAGAGUUCAUAUCGACGGCGGUGUUUGGCACCUCGAUGUCGGCUCAUCACAUCCUGGGGCUGAAGUAGGUCCCAAGGGUAUGGCUGUUCGCCAUUUAAAGUGGUACGCGAGCUGGGUUUAGAACGUCGUGAGACAGUUCGGUCCCUAUCUGCCGUGGGCGCUGGAGAAUUGAGGGGGGCUGCUCCUAGUACGAGAGGACCGGAGUGGACGCAUCACUGGUGUUCGGGUUGUCAUGCCAAUGGCACUGCCCGGUAGCUAAAUGCGGAAGAGAUAAGUGCUGAAAGCAUCUAAGCACGAAACUUGCCCCGAGAUGAGUUCUCCCUGAGACUUUAAGUCUCCUGAAGGAACGUUGAAGACUACGACGUUGAUAGGUCGGGUGUGUAAGCGCAGCGAUGCGUUGAGCUAACCGAUACUAAUGAACCGUGAGGCUUAACC